This 434-nucleotide ribosomal RNA is filed under the name uncultured bacterium. RNAcentral describes it as "bacterial SSU rRNA". It matches the Rfam family "Bacterial small subunit ribosomal RNA", at positions 28 to 481 of the family's 1533-position model. The record is from RNAcentral.
GACGAACGCUGGCGGCGUGCUUAACACAUGCAAGUCGAACGGUAAGGCCCUUCGGGGUACACGAGUGGCGAACGGGUGAGUAACACGUGGGUGAUCUGCCCUGCACUUCGGGAUAAGCCUGGGAAACUGGGUCUAAUACCGGAUAGGACCAUGGACUUCACGGUUUGUGGUGGAAAGCUUUUGCGGUGUGGGAUGGGCCCGCGGCCUAUCAGCUUGUUGGUGGGGUAAUGGCCUACCAAGGCGACGACGGGUAGCCGGCCUGAGAGGGUGUCCGGCCACACUGGGACUGAGAUACGGCCCAGACUCCUACGGGAGGCAGCAGUGGGAAUAUUGCACAAUGGGCGCAAGCCUGAUGCAGCGACGCCGCGUGAGGGAUGACGGCCUCGGGUUGUAAACCUCUUUCAAUAGGGACGAAGCGCAAGUGACGGUACCUA